This 297-nucleotide signal recognition particle RNA is filed under the name Cebus imitator (Panamanian white-faced capuchin). RNAcentral describes it as "Metazoan signal recognition particle RNA (ENSCCAG00000002194.1)". It matches the Rfam family "Metazoan signal recognition particle RNA". Rfam says of the family: The signal recognition particle (SRP) is a universally conserved ribonucleoprotein. It is involved in the co-translational targeting of proteins to membranes. The eukaryotic SRP consists of a 300-nucleotide 7S RNA and six proteins: SRPs 72, 68, 54, 19, 14, and 9. The record is from RNAcentral. Lineage: Eukaryota; Metazoa; Chordata; Mammalia; Primates; Cebidae.
GCUGGGCAUGGUGGCACGGCCUGUAGUCCCAGCUACUCGGGAGGCUGAGGUGGGAGGAUCGCUUGAGUCCAGGAGUUCUGGGCUGUAGUGCGCUAUGCCGAUUGGGUGUCCACACUAAGUUCGGCAUCAAUAUGGUGACCUCCGGGAGCAGGGAACCACCAGGUUGCCUAAGGAAUGGUGAACCGGCCCGGGUCAGAAACGGGUCAGGUCAGAACUCCCAUGCUGAUCAGUAAUGGGAUCACACCUGUGAAAAGCCACUGCACCCCAGCCUGGGCAACAUAGUGAGACCCCAUCUCU